AGUGAACGCUGGCGGUAGGCCUAACACAUGCAAGUCGAACGGCAGCACAGUAAGAGCUUGCUCUUACGGGUGGCGGGUGGCGGACGGGUGAGGAAUACAUCGGAAUCUACUUUUUCGUGGGGGAUAACGUAGGGAAACUUACGCUAAUACCGCAUACGACCUACGGGUGAAAGCAGGGGAUCUUCGGACCUUGCGCGAUUGACUGAGCCGAUGUCGGAUUAGCUAGUUGGCGGGGUAAAGGCCCACCAAGGCGACGAUCCGUAGCUGGUCUGAGAGGAUGAUCAGCCACACUGGAACUGAGACACGGUCCAGACUCCUACGGGAGGCAGCAGUGGGGAAUAUUGGACAAUGGGCGCAAGCCUGAUCCAGCCAUACCGCGUGGGUGAAGAAGGCCUUCGGGUUGUAAAGCCCUUUUGUUGGGAAAGAAAAGCAGCAGGUUAAUACCCCGCUGUUCUGACGGUACCCAAAGAAUAAGCACCGGCUAACUUCGUG
This 492-nucleotide ribosomal RNA is filed under the name uncultured bacterium. RNAcentral's name for it is "partial 16S ribosomal RNA". It matches the Rfam family "Bacterial small subunit ribosomal RNA", at positions 29 to 507 of the family's 1533-position model. The record is from RNAcentral.